GGGUUGUGAGGUUAAGCGACUAAGCGUACACGGUGGAUGCCCUGGCAGUCAGAGGCGAUGAAGGACGUGCUAAUCUGCGAAAAGCGUCGGUAAGGUGAUAUGAACCGUUAUAGCCGGCGAUGUCCGAAUGGGGAAACCCAGUGCAAUUCGUUGCACUAUCGUUUGAUGAAUACAUAGUCAAACGAGGCGAACCGGGGGAACUGAAACAUCUAAGUACCCCGAGGAAAAGAAAUCAACCGAGAUUCCCCCAGUAGCGGCGAGCGAACGGGGAGCAGCCCGGAGUCUGAAUCAGCUUGUGUGUUAGUGGAAGCGUCUGGAAAGUCGCAGGGUACAGGGUGAUACUCCCGUACACUAAAGCACACAGGUUGUGAACUCGAAGAGUAGGGCGGGACACGUGGUAUCCUGUCUGAAUAUGGGGGGACCAUCCUCCAAGGCUAAAUACUCCUGACUGACCGAUAGUGAACCAGUACCGUGAGGGAAAGGCGAAAAGAACCCCGGCGAGGGGAGUGAAAAAGAACCUGAAACCGUGUACGUACAAGCAGUAGGAGCCUCUUUAUGGGGUGACUGCGUACCUUUUGUAUAAUGGGUCAGCGACUUAUAUUCUGUAGCAAGGUUAACCGUAUAGGGGAGCCGCAGGGAAACCGAGUCUUAACUGGGCGUUAAGUUGCAGGGUAUAGACCCGAAACCCGGUGAUCUAGCCAUGGGCAGGUUGAAGGUUGGGUAACACUAACUGGAGGACCGAACCGACUAAUGUUGAAAAAUUAGCGGAUGACUUGUGGCUGGGGGUGAAAGGCCAAUCAAACCGGGAGAUAGCUGGUUCUCCCCGAAAGCUAUUUAGGUAGCGCCUCGUGAACUCAUCUUCGGGGGUAGAGCACUGUUUCGGCUAGGGGGUCAUCCCGACUUACCAACCCGAUGCAAACUACGAAUACCGAAGAAUGUUAUCACGGGAGACACACGGCGGGUGCUAACGUCCGUCGUGAAGAGGGAAACAACCCAGACCGCCAGCUAAGGUCCCAAAGUCAUGGUUAAGUGGGAAACGAUGUGGGAAGGCCCAGACAGCCAGGAUGUUGGCUUAGAAGCAGCCAUCAUUUAAAGAAAGCGUAAUAGCUCACUGGUCGAGUCGGCCUGCGCGGAAGAUGUAACGGGGCUAAACCAUGCACCGAAGCUGCGGCAGCGACACUAUGUGUUGUUGGGUAGGGGAGCGUUCUGUAAGCCGUUGAAGGUGGCCUGUGAGGGUUGCUGGAGGUAUCAGAAGUGCGAAUGCUGACAUAAGUAACGAUAAUGCGGGUGAAAAACCCGCACGCCGGAAGACCAAGGGUUCCUGUCCAACGUUAAUCGGGGCAGGGUGAGUCGACCCCUAAGGCGAGGCCGAAAGGCGUAGUCGAUGGGAAACAGGUUAAUAUUCCUGUACUCGGUGUUACUGCGAAGGGGGGACGGAGAAGGCUAUGUUGGCCGGGCGACGGUUGUCCCGGUUUAAGCAUGUAGGCGGAUGUUCCAGGUAAAUCCGGAACGUUAUCAACGCUGAGGUGUGAUGACGAGGCACUACGGUGCUGAAGUGACAAAUGCCCUGCUUCCAGGAAAAGCCUCUAAGCAUCAGGUAACAUCAAAUCGUACCCCAAACCGACACAGGUGGUCAGGUAGAGAAUACCAAGGCGCUUGAGAGAACUCGGGUGAAGGAACUAGGCAAAAUGGUGCCGUAACUUCGGGAGAAGGCACGCUGAUAUGUAGGUGAAGUGGUUUACCCAUGGAGCUGAAAUCAGUCGAAGAUACCAGCUGGCUGCAACUGUUUAUUAAAAACACAGCACUGUGCAAACACGAAAGUGGACGUAUACGGUGUGACGCCUGCCCGGUGCCGGAAGGUUAAUUGAUGGGGUUAUCCGUAAGGAGAAGCUCUUGAUCGAAGCCCCGGUAAACGGCGGCCGUAACUAUAACGGUCCUAAGGUAGCGAAAUUCCUUGUCGGGUAAGUUCCGACCUGCACGAAUGGCGUAAUGAUGGCCAGGCUGUCUCCACCCGAGACUCAGUGAAAUUGAACUCGCUGUGAAGAUGCAGUGUACCCGCGGCAAGACGGAAAGACCCCGUGAACCUUUACUAUAGCUUGACACUGAACACUGGUCCUUGAUGUGUAGGAUAGGUGGGAGGCUUUGAAGUGUGGACGCCAGUCUGCAUGGAGCCAUCCUUGAAAUACCACCCUUUAAUGGCUGGUGUUCUAACGUGGGCCCCUAAUCGGGGUUGCGGACAGUGUCUGGUGGGUAGUUUGACUGGGGCGGUCUCCUCCUAAAGAGUAACGGAGGAGCACGAAGGUCAGCUAAUCCUGGUCGGACAUCAGGAGGUUAGUGCAAUGGCAUAAGCUGGCUUGACUGCGAGCGUGACGGCGCGAGCAGGUGCGAAAGCAGGUCAUAGUGAUCCGGUGGUUCUGAAUGGAAGGGCCAUCGCUCAACGGAUAAAAGGUACUCCGGGGAUAACAGGCUGAUACCGCCCAAGAGUUCAUAUCGACGGCGGUGUUUGGCACCUCGAUGUCGGCUCAUCACAUCCUGGGGCUGAAGUAGGUCCCAAGGGUAUGGCUGUUCGCCAUUUAAAGUGGUACGCGAGCUGGGUUUAGAACGUCGUGAGACAGUUCGGUCCCUAUCUGCCGUGGGCGCUGGAGAAUUGAGGGGGGCUGCUCCUAGUACGAGAGGACCGGAGUGGACGCAUCACUGGUGUUCGGGUUGUCAUGCCAAUGGCAUUGCCCGGUAGCUAAAUGCGGAAGAGAUAAGUGCUGAAAGCAUCUAAGCACGAAACUUGCCCCGAGAUGAGUUCUCCCUGACCCUUUAAGGGUCCUGAAGGAACGUUGAAGACGACGACGUUGAUAGGCCGGGUGUGUAAGCGCAGCGAUGCGUUGAGCUAACCGGUACUAAUGAACCGUGAGGCUUAACCUUACAACGCCGAAG
RNAcentral lists this ribosomal RNA (2928 nucleotides) under Klebsiella oxytoca. Its description in RNAcentral is "23S ribosomal RNA". It matches the Rfam family "Bacterial large subunit ribosomal RNA". The record is from RNAcentral. Lineage: Bacteria; Pseudomonadati; Pseudomonadota; Gammaproteobacteria; Enterobacterales; Enterobacteriaceae.